This 9693-nucleotide long non-coding RNA is filed under the name Equus asinus (donkey). RNAcentral's name for it is "lncRNA (ENSEASG00005027680.1)". Lineage: Eukaryota; Metazoa; Chordata; Mammalia; Perissodactyla; Equidae. The record is from RNAcentral.
CCCGUACACAGUUGUAUAUCUUAGUUGCAUGUCCUUCUAGUUGUGGGAUGUGGGAUGCCACCUCAACGUGGCCUGAUGAGCGGUGCCAUGUCCGCGCCCAGGAUCCAAACCCUGGGCCGCCGCAGCGGAGUGCGUGAACUUAACCACUCGGCCACGGAGCCGGCCCCUCUUUUUUUUUUUAAAGAUUUUAUUCUUUUCCUUUUUCUCCCCAAAGCCCCCUGGCACAUAGUUGUAUAUUCUUUGUUGUGGGUCCUUCUAGUUGUGGCAUGUGGGAUGCCACCUCAGCAUGGCUUGAUGAGCGGUGCCAUGUCCACGAUCAGGAUUUGAACUAGCGAAACCCUGGGCUGCCACAGCGGAGUGUGAGAACUUAACCACUCAGCCACGGGGCCGGCCCCAGGAAUUCUUGUUUAUGUUACCUUCAAUGUAUAAUCUAGAGAAAAACCAGAUGUACACAGUUCUUCUUUUUCUGACAUAUUUGAAAACUACUUGUAAGUUUUUUUUCUCUUUUCCUCUUCCCUGCACAUACACUGUUUUGUGAAAGAGAGAUGAGCUGCACUUAAACUCACACACCUCGGAGCAGUUCCUCAGAGCCCUCUGUUGAACUGUUUUCCUGGGGUUCAAACUCCUCACGCAGAUUACUGAAUAAACUCCUUCACAAACAUCACCUAGACACUAUUUCAGUGGACAGAGGACACAGUUGUGACCUUCACCAGGAAGGAGUGGUGGUGGCUGGAGGCUGCCCAGGGGGACCCUGUCCUGGGAGGUGAGUCUGGAGAGGCCAUGUAGGUAUUUGCUUUAUGAUUAUUUAUUAACACCCUGGAUCAGGGGCCCUGCGCUGCUGGGGGAGACCGGGCCCUCCCUCCCAGAGUCGUGGCUAGGGGCCUGAGGCAUGGGGGCUCAGCCAAUCUUGGUUGCUGGGCUAGGCCUGAGUCCCUGCAUGGCCUGAGAGCCAAACAUGAGAGCCACUGGAAUCCUUUUCUCCAUGGCUGAAAGCGCAGCCUCUGUCAUGAAUUCAUGGAUCCAUCUGUAACCAUGUGCUGUGAACCAGCAAGUUUUACUGUGACCUUUCCCUUUUUCUAAUUUAUUUUUUAUUUUAUUUUAUUUUUUGAAGAAGAUUAACUCUGCACUAACAUCUGCUGCCAAGCCUCCUCUUUUUUUUUUUUGCUGAGGAAGACUGGCCCUGAGCUACCAUCCAUGCCCAUCUUCCUCUACUUUAUAUGUGGGACGCCUAUCACAGCAUGGCUUGACAAGUGGUGCAUAAUUCUGCACCCAGGAUCCGAACCAGCGAACCCUGGGCUGCCGAAGUGGAAUGUGUGAACUUAAACACUACACCACUGGGCCAGCCCAUCCUAUUUUUUAGAUAAGAAAAUUGAGGUUCAAGAAGGUUGAAUUGUUCAUUGUGCAGAAUUAAUGCAGCAGGCCUGAAACUUAGAGGGGCUAGCUUGCACGUUGGCCCUUGGCUCGCUUAGAUUUUGGGAGGGUUCCCAUUAUUCCUGAACACUUAGCAGCUCACUGAGCCCAAACUGUUUGUGCAAACAUAGCUUAUGUCGAACACCUGAUUCCUUCUGGGAGUGGGGGAUUUUUGGUCUCUGCCAGGCAGUGAGUGCCUACGUGACGAGCUUACGAUAAAAACCCUGGUGCUGCGUCUCUCAGGAGCUUCCCUGCUGGACAACAUUUCACAUAAGUUUUCACAACUCAUUGCUGGAGGGAUUAAAUGUGCUCUGCGCAGCUGCACUGGGAAAGAACUCUGGAAAUUCAUGCCUAGAUUCCCCUGGACUUCGCCUCAUGUACAUUUUCCCUCUGCUGAAUUUUCUCUGUCCUUUCACUGUAGUAAAUCAAAGCCGUGUGGACGACUCUAUGCUGAGUCCUGGGAGCAGUCCUCAUGAAUCACCAAACCUGGGGUUGUCUCAGGGGCCCCAACACACUCACCCUGGAUCACACAGCUUGUCAGUGGCAGGGCAGGGACACAAGUCAGAACUUCCAUCUCUGAUUUCUCAGAACACCUAGAGGGGAGGUUUGCAGAGUCUGAGAGGAGACUUCAAGCUGGAGGGAAACCUGACAGGCAAGGCCCUUAUGAAGACAAAUGAGAACAUGGGCCCCAUUCCCAGGGAGCCCCUAAUCCAACUGGAUCAGGGAGGAAGACCCAGGAGGAAGGAAGACCAGGGUCUUCUCAGAGGUGGCAGCAAGUGUGGGUGACCCUGAGGUCCCAGCUAACCCUUGAGAGCCUGGCCUUCGUGGGGGCAUUUUCCUAGUUUACUUCCACAUCUUGAGCUCAGUCACUUAGAUCUACCGGUCACGGGUGAGCAGAUGGCAACGCACACGGGAUUAGGGACACUGAGCAGAGGGGCCUGACAGUGGUCAGGCCAAUGGCCACUCCCCUCCCAAUUCUGUAGAUGAUGCUGCAGAGGAGCAUUUAUUUAAAACACAGAGAGGGGACAGCCCAGUGCCACAGCGGUUAAGUGUGCAUGUUCCGAUUCUCGGCAGCCCGGUGUUUGCCAGUUCGGAUCCUGGGUGCGGACAUGGCACCGCUUGGCAAAAGCCAUGCUAUGGUAGGCGUCCCACGUAUAAAGUAGAGGAAGAUGGGCACGGAUGUUAGCUCAGGGCCAGUCUUCCUCAGCAAAAAUAGGAGGAUUGGCAGUAGUUAGCUCAGGGCUAAUCUUCCUCAAAAAAAAAAAAUUUAAAAAAUAAAACAGACACAGUCUAAAGAAAUACUGUGUUCGUGUUAAUAGACAAUCAUAAAGCAAAUACCCAUGGCCACCUGCCAGGUUAAGACAGAACAGGGCCUCCUCCUGCCACUGCCCCAACAGCCCAGCCUUCUCUGCUCAGGAAACGAGCUCCAGACUUCUGUGAUUGUAUGAGAGCUCUCCAGAGACACAACCAAUAGCUUAUACAUAAAAGGAGAUUGAUUUGGAGGAAUUGGCUCGCAUGAUUAUGGAGGAUGAGAAGUCCCAUGAUCUGCCAUCUGCCAGCUGGAGACCCAGGAAAGCUGGUGGUAUAACUCAGUGUGAGUCUGAAGGCUGAGAACCAGGGCAGAGGAUGGGGCAAAUCCCAGUGCAAGGGCAGGAGAAGAGGAGACGUCCCAGCUUAAGCUGUGAGGCAGGGGAGAAGGAGCAAAUUCUUCCUUUCAAGGCCUUUGGUUCUAUUUAGGCCCUUAAUGGAUUGGAUGAUGCCCACCCACAUUGGGGAGGGCAAUUUGCUUGACAAUUUGGGUCCACUGAUUGAAAUCCUAAUCUCACCUGGAAACAGCCUCACAGACACACCCAGAGACAGAAAUAAUGUCUUACCUGGGCACCCUGUGGCUCAUUGAUAACCAUGUCCUUCCUUUCCUUUAUAGGAAGCCAAACCACAUGGUUUGCUUCUGCUUCUUUUUGAACUUCAUGUAAAUACAAUCAUAGUUGAUGCUUUCUUUUGUUAAGAUUUUUACUUUUUUUCCUUUUUCUCCCCAAAGCCCCCCGGUACAUAGUUGUAUAUUCUUCGUUGUGGGUCCUUCUAGUUGUGGCAUGUGGGACGCUGCCUCAGUGUGGUUUGAUGAGCAGUGCCAUGUCCGCGCCCAGGAUUGGAAACACUGGGCCGCCUGUGGCGGAGCGCGCAAACUUAACCGCUUGGCCGUGGCGCCAGCCCCGAUGCUUUCUUUUCUCUCUUGCCUGUUUUGCUCAGCAUCAUUUCUGGAGUUUGUCCACGUGGAGCUGGAAUCUGUCCCCUGUGUGGCUAUACAGUGUUCCAUCGUAGGGCUAGCCCAAGCUGGUCCACCCAUUUGGCUGUUGACGGGCAUUUGGGUUGUUUCCCAUUUGGGGCUAUUAUGAACACUUGCCUGCCUCUCCUGGAGCAUGGGUGUUUCUCAAGGGUUGCGUCUAGGAGUAGAGUCCUGGGCCAUUGGCUGUGUCUGUCUUCAGCUUUAUCCACACAGCAAACAGUUUCCAUAGGGGCUGUCCUGUUUUACAUUCCCACCAGGCAUAUGUGAGAGUUCCAGUUGCUCAGCAUCCUCACCCACACUUGGUAUUGUCAAACUUUUAAAUUUUAUACAUUCUGGUCAGUGCCUAGUAGUAUUUUUCCAUUUCAUUGUGGCUUUUAUUUUUAUUUCCAUGAUGACUCAUGAUAGUGAGCUCCUUUUCAUGUGCAUAUUGUCAUCUGGAUUUCCUCUUUUGUAAAAGUCUUGCCCCAUUUUUCUCUUGGGGUACCUGCCUUUUCUCAUGGAUUGGUAGGAAUUAUUAUUUGCUCUGGAUGCUAGCUGUGCAUAUCUUCUCCCUCAUUCUGGCUUGCCUUUCACUCUGUUUACGUUUGAUGAACAGAUGCUCCUAACUCUUGGCACUACAAUUUAUCAAGCUUUCCCUUUAUGCUGAGUGUUAGUCUGACUAGGAAAACUCUUUUCCACCUUGAGAUCAUGAAGGUAGCCUCCUGUGUUGCCAUGAAAGGCCUCAUUGUUUUCCUUUCACACCUAACUCUUUAUGUGGAUGUCCCUUUUAUGAAACAGCUGCUCCUUCCUCAAGCUCUGCAGGGCUUACUCUGGCACAGGACAAGAGUACGCUUGUAGGGGCUGGCCUGGUGGCGUAGCGGUUAAGUUCGCACGUUCAGCUUCUUGGUGGCCCAGGGUUCGCCAGUUUGGAUCCUGGGUGCGGACAUGGCACUGCUCAUCUAAGCCAUGCUGUGACAGGCGUCCCACAUAUAAAGUAGAGGAAGAUGGUAAUAGAUGUUAACUCAGGGCUAGUCUUCUUCAGCAAAAAGAGGAAGAUUGGCAGCAGUUAGCUCAGGGCUAAUCUUCCUCAAAAAAAAAAAAAAAAAAAAAGAGUCCACUUGUGUGAGAGUCCAUGGCUGGGCUCUCUCUUCUGUCAGUUGCAUUGGGUUUCUUCAUCUCUCUGAGUUCUGACGACUGCGUCUUGCUGACAGGCUUGGAAAGAGACUCUGUACCUGGUGGAUGUGGUGAUUAUCUUCUCACACCCUCUCAUGGUCUCCCAAACAAGUAGUGGGUGAACAGCUGGCUCUGCAGGUCAGGGGGCUUUUUGUGCUUCUAGGUCCCAAGGAUGGAGGACAGAAGUGCCGUGUGGACCUGGCUGCCUAUCUCUGAGCCUGCUCGCUCUCCUCAGGCACCUGCCCUGGGCUCCAGGCUUGCAGCACCACCAUCUGCUUCUGGCCUUUUGCAGAGCACCUCUGGACGUCCUCCACAUGCCCUGCUGCUGUUAUGCAGUAGCAGGAAGAAGAGAAGAGAAACAGGAAGACUCUCUUCUCCUGUGGUUUCCCUCUGGUGCCGUCUUCUGACAAAGCUAACGAUGUGCUGACUGCAAGGGAGAAAUGCCUGCAGGGUCCAGCCCACUACCACAGAGCAGGUAACAAGGGUAGACAUGGAACUGAAAGGAAAUAAAUUGAUAACUGAUGCAGUGGGCUUUGGGUUGUUCUCAGAUUUUUCACUUUUAUAUAUAGUUGCUGUAAACAUUUUGCCAUGUCUUUUGGUGCACAUAAGUACUCGUUUCUGUUGGGUGCAUUCCCUGGAGUGGAAUUGCUGAGUCAGAGUGUACAUAUGUUUAGCCUAGUAGAUACUGUCAAAGUUUCCCAAAGUCAUUAUUUGCUCCAUUUCUUUUUUUUUAUAAAAGAUUUUAUUUUUCCUUUUUCUCCCCAAAGCCCCCCAGUACAUAGUUGUAUAUAUUUUAGUUGUGGGUCCUUCUAGCUGUGGUAUGUGGGAUGCCACCUCAGCAUGGCCUGAUGAGUGGUGCCAUGUCCAUGCCCACGAUUUGAACCGCCCAAACCCUGGGCCGCCGAAGCAGAGCACAUGAACUUAACCACUUGCCCACAGGGCCGGCCCCUACUCCAUUUCUUAUUAUAAUAAUUUUAUUGAAAAACUGUCUAUCACAUUUCAUUCAUCACAACCUACAGGCCAGUUUUAUGCUUUGGGCCAUGAACAAUACUAAGCCUAUUAACAAUAUGUGGUUGUGUUAGUUUUCUAUUCUGUGUAACAAAUUAUCACAAACUCAGUGGCUGGAAACCACAGCCAUUUGUUAGCUCACGGUUCUGUAGGUCAGGAGUCUGGGAGACCUCAGCUGGGUUCUCUGCUCAGCAUAUCACAAGGGUGAACUCAAGACUUUGGCAGGGCUGGGCUCUUAUCUGGAAGAUCAGGGAAGAAUCUGCUUCCAUGCUCAUUCAGGUUGUUGGCAGAUUCCAGGUCCUUGUGGUUGUGGGACUGAGGUCUCUGUUCCCUGGCUGGCUGUUGGCCAGGGGUUGUUCUUACCCUCUAGAGGCCGUCUGUGGCUCCCUCCAUCUUCAAAGCCAGCAAUGGUGCAUCAAAUCCCUCUCGUGCAAUUCUUUCUGACUUCCUUUUCUGCAACCAGCCGGAGAAUACACCAAGCUUUGAAAGGGCUUAUGUGAUUAGGCCACCGGGCCAGAUCGUCUCCCUUCUUUUAAGGUCAAUUAUGCCAAAUAACAUAACUUAAUCACAGGAAUGAUAGCUGGUCAUUUUCACAGGUCCCAAUUCCAAACUUCCUCACCAAUGCUUGUUGUUGGGGUUUUAUUUGCUAUUUAAGAUUGAGCAAUACAUCACAUUAUUUUUUUUUAAAUAUUAUUUUUUUUCUGCUUUAUUUCCCGAAAUCCCCCUUGUACAUAGUUGUAUAGCUUAGUUGUGGGUCCUUCUAGUUUUGGCAUGUGGGACGCUGCCUCAACAUGGCCUGAUGAGCAGUGCCAUGUCCACGCCCAGGAUCCGAACCGGCAAAACCUUGGGGCACUGCAGCGGAGCCCGUGAACUUAACCACUCAGCCACGGAGCCAGCCCCGUUCAUGUUGUUUUAAUUUGUAUCAUACUUACUCAUGUUGGCCAUGUUAUGAACACUGAGCAGAAUGCCAGGAACGGGGUAUGUGAACGCGGCAGGCAGGCCCUGCCUUCACUGUGCAGGUGUUUCCCUGAUUACUUCUGAGCAUGUGUGUCUUCACUGGUUUGUCGGCCAGCCAAGUUUCUUCUGAUGUGAAUUACCAAUUCAUAGCCUUCCUCCACUUUUCUAUCAGGUUUUUAGUCAUUUUAUUAUUGAUUUGGAGUUAAAAAAUAUUUUGUUUUUUUGUUUAUGUUGCAAAUGUUUUCCUCCAGUAUUUUUCUUAUCUUUUAUCUCUGUUCAUAGUAUCUUUUCUCACAUUUAAGUUUAAUUUGUUAAACUUAUCAGUUAUUUCUGUAGUGAUCUGGGUGCUUUUUGUGUUUUGUUUAAGAAAUCAUUUUAGGGGCCGGCCCCAUGGCCGAGUGGUUAAGUUUGCAUGCUCCACUUCGGCGGCCCAGGGUUUCGCAGGUUCAAGUCCUGGGCGCAGACAUGGCACCACUCAUCAGGCCAUGUUGAGGUGGCAUCCCACAUGCCACGACUGGAAGGACCCACAACUGAAAAUACACAACCAUGUACUGGGGGGCCUUGGAGAGAAAAAGGAAAAAUAAAAUCUUUAAAAAAAUAUAUCAUUUAAAAAAAUAAAAAUCUUUAAAAAAACCCAAAAAAGUGGGGCUGGCCCCAUGGCCGAGUGGUUAAUUUCGCACGUUCCGCUGCAGGCAGCCCAGUGUUUCGUUGGUUCGAAUCCUGGGCGUGGACAUGGCACUGCUCAUCAAACCACGCUGAAGCAGCGUCCCACAUGCCACAACUAGAAGGACCCACAAUGAAGAAUAUACAACUAUGUACCGGGGGGCUUUGGGGAGUAAAAGGAAAAAAUAAUCUUUAGAAUAUAUAUAUAUAUCUCAUUAAAAACAUCCUGGUAUUUAAAAAAUCUGUAAUUUAGUUUUGAGUGUGUGAGGUGAGAAUCUAUUUUCCUUCCAUAUGGGAAGCCAAUUGUUCCAACAUUUAGUGAAAGGCUACGUUGUCUUCCCUGAUUGUCUUCACAUGCACCAAAUUCCAAAGGGUUUGUUUCUAGAUUGGUCUAGUUGUCCACCUCCUGCACCAAUACCACACUGUUUUAAUAUUAUGUAACUUAACAAUGUUUUUACCCAGUAAAGCAAGCCUUCCCUACUUGUCAUGUUUUUCCAAAUUGUCAUAGCAAUUCUUGGACUCUCCCACAUGCAUUUUAGAUUCAUUUUUUUGGAUUAUGUAUAUUUAAAAAAAGACGCUAUGGGAUUUUUUUUUUUUUUUGAGGAAGAUUAGCCCUGAGCUAACACCUGUGCCCAUCUUCCUCUACUUUUUUAUAUGUAGGAUGCCUGCCACAGCACGGGUCCACAAACGGUGUGUAGAUGCGUACCCAGGAUCCAAACUGGCGAACCCCAGGCCACCGAAGCAGAAUGUGCAACCUUAACUGCUGUGCCACUGGGCUGGUCCCAACCCUACGGGAUUUUUAACUGGAGUUGCACUUAAUUUAUAGGUUGACUUGGAGAGAAUGGACAUAUUUAAUAUUGCAUCUUCUGAUCCAUGAACAUACUAUAUGGCUCCAGAGAGUCAGGUCUUUUAUGCGCAUUCCUUGCUGUGACACUUGCAGACUGUCAUUUAAGGCUGCCAAUGAUUUCAUUGUACAGGAAGUACUGUAAUCAUUUUAGUGAAAUUCCUAUAACUUAACACUUAGGGUUGUCCUUUCUUCCCCCGUCACAAACAACACCUGCAGUGUACACAGACCUUUGCACCCUUUGUUCUGAUCCCUUUAUUUCCUUAACAAAUGAGUGCGAGUGUGCCAUGCCACUUCUUUCUCUCUGGCCUGACAAUCACAAACAGACAUACUUACAUAAUAUGUAGAAUUUGUUUGUUUCUCCCAAAAUUGGACCACAGAAUAUCAUAUCUUAAGGGAACCUCUCUAACUCAUUAGAUCUAGACCGAGUCCUUUUAAAUGCUGCGUGACAUUCCAAGGUGCAGCUGUCCGCCAAUUAAACAGCCAUUCCUAUAAAGGUGGCAUUCAGGUUUUUGUUUUUUUUUUUUUGAAGAUUUUAGUUUUCCUUUUUCUCCCCAAAGUCCCCUGGUACAUAGUUGUAUAUUUUUAGUUGUGGGUCCUUCUAGUUGUGGUAUGUGGGAUGCCACCUCAGCAUGGCUCGAUGAGCAGUGCCAUGUCCAUGCCCAGGAUUCGAACCUGCGAAUCCCUGGGCCACUGAAGCAAAGCUCGCGAACUUCACCACUCAGCCAGGGGGCCGGUCCCCCAGGUGUUUUUCUUUUUUAAGUUGGGUCUUUUCUUGCUUCUAAACCAGGUCGCAGUAAGAUCCCUGAAUACAUCCUUUUGUACUGAUGUAUUUCAAUAGGAUACAGUCCAAGAAAUGUUGCUAGAUUGGAGAGUCAGUUAACCUAAAAAUGUUAACAGGUACCACCAGUUUGCUUUCCCAAAGGCUGCAGCAGGUCACAGUCCACUGUCAAUGCCAGCAAGGAGUUUUGCUGCCAUUACAAUUUUCUGCCACCUGGUCAGGUAGAGUCACAGCUCAUGGCCACUUUAAAUCCCAUGUCUAGGCUUCAAGUGACAGGGACAUUGGUUGUUCCUCCUUGUGACUUGUCCAUUUGUGUUUUGCCAAUUUUCUUUGAACAUUUGCUUUGUUCUUAUCAAUUUAUGGGAGUUCUUUAUCUUUUUUUGGAUAUUAACCGUGGUGUAUGUACAGAUUUGUCGCAGACUCUUUUGAUCUGGUUUAUGUAUCUCUUUGCUAUACAGAAAUCAGAGUUUAUGUAGUCACAUGAGAUUAUCCCCGCUUCAUAAAAUAACUAGAUGGAUUUCUGUAUCCCUUGGGCUUCUGUUGUAGAAAAUGUAUUUCUACUAGAUUUUUAAAUGUGUUGCCAUAGAGUUGCUC